GACGAACGCUGGCGGCGUGCUUAACACAUGCAAGUCGAACGGAAAGGCCCUGCUUUUGUGGGGUGCUCGAGUGGCGAACGGGUGAGUAACACGUGAGUAACCUGCCCUUGACUUUGGGAUAACUUCAGGAAACUGGGGCUAAUACCGGAUAGGAGCUCCUGCUGCAUGGUGGGGGUUGGAAAGUUUCGGCGGUGGGGGAUGGACUCGCGGCUUAUCAGCUUGUUGGUGGGGUAGUGGCUGACCAAGGCUUUGACGGGUAGCCGGCCUGAGAGGGUGACCGGCCACAUUGGGACUGCGAUACGGCCCAGACUCCUACGGGAGGCAGCAGUGGGGAAUAUUGCACAAUGGGCGGAAGCCUGAUGCAGCAACGCCGCGUGCGGGAUGACGGCCUUCGGGUUGUAAACCGCUUUCGCCUGUGACGAAGCGUGAGUGACGGUAAUGGGUAAAGAAGCACCGGCUAACUACGUG
This 468-nucleotide ribosomal RNA is filed under the name uncultured bacterium. RNAcentral's name for it is "partial 16S ribosomal RNA". It matches the Rfam family "Bacterial small subunit ribosomal RNA", at positions 28 to 507 of the family's 1533-position model. The record is from RNAcentral.